Molecule: ribosomal RNA, 301 nt
Filed under: uncultured bacterium
Lineage: Bacteria
Description: partial 16S ribosomal RNA
Rfam family: Bacterial small subunit ribosomal RNA
Source: RNAcentral
CAGUAGCCGCGGUAAUACGUAGGGUGCAAGCGUUAAUCGGAAUUACUGGGCGUAAAGCGUGCGCAGGCGGCUAUGCAAGACAGAUGUGAAAUCCCCGGGCUCAACCUGGGAACUGCACUUGUGACUGCAUGGCUAGAGUACGGUAGAGGGGGAUGGAAUUCCGCGUGUAGCAGUGAAAUGCGUAGAUAUGCGGAGGAACACCGAUGGCGAAGGCAAUCCCCUGGACCUGUACUGACGCUCAUGCACGAAAGCGUGGGGAGCAAACAGGAUUAGAUACCCCCGUAGUCCCUGUCUCUUAUAC